GAACGCUGGCACAGGCCUAACACAUGCAAGUCGAACGGUAACAUUUCUAGCUUGCUAGAAGAUGACGAGUGGCGGACGGGUGAGUAAUGCUUGGGAACUUGCCUUUGCGAGGGGGAUAACAGUUGGAAACGACUGCUAAUACCGCAUAAUGUCUUCGGACCAAACGGGGCUUAGGCUCCGGCGCAAAGAGAGGCCCAAGUGAGAUUAGCUAGUUGGUAAGGUAACGGCUUACCAAGGCGACGAUCUCUAGCUGUUCUGAGAGGAAGAUCAGCCACACUGGGACUGAGACACGGCCCAGACUCCUACGGGAGGCAGCAGUGGGGAAUAUUGCACAAUGGGGGAAACCCUGAUGCAGCCAUGCCGCGUGUGUGAAGAAGGCCUUCGGGUUGUAAAGCACUUUCAGUUGUGAGGAAAAGUUAGUAGUUAAUACCUGCUAGCCGUGACGUUAACAACAGAAGAAGCACCGGCUAACUCCGUGCCAGCAGCCGCGGUAAUACGGAGGGUGCGAGCGUUAAUCGGAAUUACUGGGCGUAAAGCGCACGCAGGCGGUUUGUUAAGCUAGAUGUGAAAGC
RNAcentral lists this ribosomal RNA (572 nucleotides) under uncultured bacterium. RNAcentral describes it as "bacterial SSU rRNA". It matches the Rfam family "Bacterial small subunit ribosomal RNA", at positions 31 to 601 of the family's 1533-position model. The record is from RNAcentral.